This 497-nucleotide ribosomal RNA is filed under the name uncultured bacterium. RNAcentral's name for it is "partial 16S ribosomal RNA". It matches the Rfam family "Bacterial small subunit ribosomal RNA", at positions 28 to 507 of the family's 1533-position model. The record is from RNAcentral.
GAUGAACGCUGGCGGCGUGCCUAAUACAUGCAAGUCGAGCGAACGGACGAGAAGCUUGCUUCUCUGAUGUUAGCGGCGGACGGGUGAGUAACACGUGGAUAACCUACCUAUAAGACUGGGAUAACUUCGGGAAACCGGAGCUAAUACCGGAUGAUAUUUUGAACCGCAUGGUUCAAAAGUGAAAGACGGUCUUGCUUUCACUUAUAGAUGGAUCCGCUGUGGAUUAGCUAGUUGCUAAGGUAACGGCUUACGAAGGCAACGAUGCAUAGCCGAGCGGAGACGGUGAGCCGGCACACUGGGACUGAGACACGCUCCAGAAUCCUACGGGAGGCAGCAGUCGGGAAUCUUGCACCAUGGGCGAAUACCUGACGGUGCACCGCCGCGUGAGUGAUGAAGGUCUUCUGAUGGUAAACCUCUGUUAUUAGGGAAGAACAUAUGUGUAAGUAACUGUGCACAUCGUGACGGUACCUAAUCAGAAAGCCACGGCUAACUACGUG